UAGUCAGGCAAGAGCUGACCAGGCUCAAACACCAAUAUAGUGUGAUCGUUCACACCGCCUAGACUAGCGGUGCUGCCAAACUGCCCGUGCUACGGCAUGAGAUUUGGCUGCAUCUAGAAAGAACGAGAUGUCAGAGCUGGGUUGUGGUGACUUCACUUAAGCACAAUGCAUUGGAUACAAUUUUAUCUGAUGUCGAAGGAGGGCUGAACUUGCUGUCUAUUGUGAAGUUGGCGUCAGUCAGAUUGGUGAUACGAAUUGGAGACUUUGGGGCUAAAGAUAUGCAGGACCCACUUUUUCCCUGGGGCAAUACUUUGGAGUGCCAGUGCCUGCACACACAGGCAUUCACCACCUGCUUCUGGCCUCCUUCCAUGCACCACAUCUACACACAACACUAUAACAUCCUUAACACUCUUGAGAAAUGCACAACUCUUUCCAACAGACUGCAAAAGCAGAAGACAACAUUCUAGGACAUGGGAAUUGCCUCAACCUACUCCACUUAUGCUGAUGUUCCUCCCAGAUCAGCAUUUCGAACCCAACAUUCUGCAUUGAACAGUUCCACUCUGCACAUUCUCUAUUGGCGCAUUUGGCUACUCAGUGGCACACUCAGGAUUUGCACGAGUCACACUUCAGUGCCCAGCAGCAAAUACAUGUUGAGCAGUGAGAGCAUGACUUUAUUCAAGACCUUCUGAGGGACUACUCCACAGAAGGAACUAUGGUCUG
RNAcentral lists this long non-coding RNA (720 nucleotides) under Gopherus agassizii (Agassiz's desert tortoise). RNAcentral describes it as "lncRNA (ENSGAGG00000013033.1)". The record is from RNAcentral. Lineage: Eukaryota; Metazoa; Chordata; Testudines; Testudinidae.